Non-coding RNA from Gemella haemolysans ATCC 10379, 115 nucleotides. The record is from Rfam. NCBI's taxonomy places the organism in Bacteria, Bacillati, Bacillota, Bacilli, Caryophanales, Gemellaceae.
UCUGGUGGCGAUAGCGAAGAGGACACACCUGUACCCAUACCGAACACAGAAGUUAAGCUCUUUAGCGUCGAAUGUAGUUGGGCUUACGCCCUGUGAGACUAGAACGUUGCCAGGC